This 309-nucleotide long non-coding RNA is filed under the name Gossypium barbadense (sea-island cotton). Its description in RNAcentral is "long non-coding RNA (GBAR_LNC011986)". The record is from RNAcentral. Lineage: Eukaryota; Viridiplantae; Streptophyta; Magnoliopsida; Malvales; Malvaceae.
UGUCCAGCCUCUCCAUAAUGGAGGUUAGGGCCAAGGAACUGAGCAAAUGGCACCUCGGGCGAGGAUGGUGUGGUCAAGUGUACCGACUCCGGAGGAGGAGUGAAGGGAGCAGUUGAAGGUUCAGUGGUGAAGGUGGAGAAAACAGGUGGUGAAACUAACUGAGUUUCAUGAGCAUAAGGGCCAAUUGCAAAAAUUGAAGCAGGCCCUGGGGAGUACUUACUGGCAGAAAUAGAGGUGAGAGAUACUAACCCAGCUGGAGAUUGAGUAGCAGAAGGGGGUUCAGAUGGAAGGAAAGAUGCAGGAGAGGAA